This 498-nucleotide ribosomal RNA is filed under the name uncultured bacterium. RNAcentral's name for it is "bacterial SSU rRNA". It matches the Rfam family "Bacterial small subunit ribosomal RNA", at positions 28 to 521 of the family's 1533-position model. The record is from RNAcentral.
GAUUAACGCUAGCGGCAGGCCUAAUACAUGCAAGUCGAACGGGAUUCAAAGUAGCAAUAUUUUGAUGAGAGUGGCGCACGGGUGAGUAACACGUAUGCAAUUUACCUUUAACUGGGGGAUAGCCCUCCGAAAGGAGGAUUAAUACCGCAUAAUAUAUUGAAAUGGCAUCAUUUUAAUAUUAAACCUACGGGGGUUAAAGAUGAGCAUGCAUCCGAUUAGCUAGUUGGUGUGGUAACGGCUCACCAAGGCAACGAUCGGUAGGGGGUCUGAGAGGAUGAUCCCCCACACUGGUACUGAGACACGGACCAGACUCCUACGGGAGGCAGCAGUAAGGAAUAUUGGACAAUGGAGGCAACUCUGAUCCAGCCAUGCCGCGUGAAGGAUUAAGGCCCUAUGGGUUGUAAACUUCUUUUAGACGGGACAAAACCCCUUUACGUGUAAAGGGUUGAUGGUACUGUCAGAAUAAGCAUCGGCUAACUUCGUGCCAGCAGCCGCGGU